Molecule: ribosomal RNA, 462 nt
Filed under: uncultured bacterium
Lineage: Bacteria
Description: bacterial SSU rRNA
Rfam family: Bacterial small subunit ribosomal RNA
Source: RNAcentral
UUGAACGCUGGCGGCGUGCCUAACACAUGCAAGUCGAGCGGUAACAGGUGUAGCAAUACAUGCUGACGAGCGGCGGACGGGUGAGUAACGCUUGGGAAUCUGCCUGAUAGUGGGGGACAACCCGGGGAAACUCGGGCUAAUACCGCAUACGCACUACGGUGGAAAGCCGGGGACCGCAAGGCCUGGCGCUAUCAGAUGAGCCCAAGUCGGAUUAGCUAGUUGGUAGGGUAACGGCCUACCAAGGCGACGAUCCGUAACUGGUCUGAGAGGACGACCAGUCACACCGGAACUGAGACACGGUCCGGACUCCUACGGGAGGCAGCAGUGGGGAAUAUUGGACAAUGGGCGAAAGCCUGAUCCAGCGACGCCGCGUGGGUGAAGAAGGCCUGCGGGUUGUAAAGCCCUUUCAGUGGGGAAGAAAAGCCUCGAGUUAAUACCUCGGGGUCUUGACGUAACCCAUAG